CAGUCGCCGCGGUAAUACGUAGGGUGCGAGCGUUAAUCGGAAUUACUGGGCGUAAAGCGUGCGCAGGUGGUUUAAUAAGUCUGAUGUGAAAGCCCACGGCUCAACCGUGGAGGGUCAUUGGAAACUGUUAAACUUGAGUGCAGGAGAGAAAAGUGGAAUUCCUAGUGUAGCGGUGAAAUGCGUAGAGAUUAGGAGGAACACCAGUGGCGAAGGCGGCUUUUUGGCCUGUAACUGACACUGAGGCGCGAAAGCGUGGGGAGCAAACAGGAUUAGAUACCCGUGUAGUCCCUGUCUCUUAUAU
RNAcentral lists this ribosomal RNA (301 nucleotides) under uncultured bacterium. RNAcentral's name for it is "partial 16S ribosomal RNA". It matches the Rfam family "Bacterial small subunit ribosomal RNA", at positions 509 to 809 of the family's 1533-position model. The record is from RNAcentral.